This 791-nucleotide ribosomal RNA is filed under the name uncultured bacterium. RNAcentral's name for it is "bacterial SSU rRNA". It matches the Rfam family "Bacterial small subunit ribosomal RNA", at positions 8 to 796 of the family's 1533-position model. The record is from RNAcentral.
AGAGUUUGAUCCUGGCUCAGAUUGAACGCUGGCGGCAUGCCUUACACAUGCAAGUCGAACGGCAGCGCGGGGCAACCUGGCGGCGAGUGGCGAACGGGUGAGUAAUAUAUCGGAACGUACCCUGGAGUGGGGGAUAACGUAGCGAAAGUUACGCUAAUACCGCAUACGAUCUAAGGAUGAAAGUGGGGGAUUCGCAAGAACCUCAUGCUCCUGGAGCGGCCGAUAUCUGAUUAGCUAGUUGGUGGGGUAAAGGCCUACCAAGGCAUCGAUCAGUAGCUGGUCUGAGAGGACGACCAGCCACACUGGAACUGAGACACGGUCCAGACUCCUACGGGAGGCAGCAGUGGGGAAUUUUGGACAAUGGGCGAAAGCCUGAUCCAGCAAUGCCGCGUGAGUGAAGAAGGCCUUCGGGUUGUAAAGCUCUUUUGUCAGGGAAGAAACGGUGUGGGCUAAUAUCCUGCACUAAUGACGGUACCUGAAGAAUAAGCACCGGCUAACUACGUGCCAGCAGCCGCGGUAAUACGUAGGGUGCAAGCGUUAAUCGGAAUUACUGGGCGUAAAGCGUGCGCAGGCGGUUUUGUAAGUCUGUCGUGAAAUCCCCGGGCUCAACCUGGGAAUUGCGAUGGAGACUGCAAGGCUAGAAUCUGGCAGAGGGGGGUAGAAUUCCACGUAGCAGUGAAAUGCGUAGAGAUGUGGAGGAACACCGAUGGCGAAGGCAGCCCCCUGGGUCAAGAUUGACGCUCAUGCACGAAAGCGUGGGGAGCAAACAGGAUUAGAUACCCUAGUAGUCC